UAUUCUGCCCCAUGGGGAAGGAUGAGAAGCUUCGACUAAGGUUCGACUCGAGCGAAGCGAGAGAACGCUGCCGCAGGCAACGGCCCGAAGGGCGAGGAGCGAUAGCGACGAGUUAUCCUUCCCCCACCACCA
This 132-nucleotide small RNA is filed under the name Klebsiella pneumoniae. RNAcentral describes it as "RtT sRNA". It matches the Rfam family "RtT RNA". From Rfam's summary of the family: This family represents a bacterial cis-regulatory element known as RtT RNA. Lineage: Bacteria; Pseudomonadati; Pseudomonadota; Gammaproteobacteria; Enterobacterales; Enterobacteriaceae. The record is from RNAcentral.